UCGAAUGAGACCCAAGCUAUUAAUCCAGGAGAUGACAAGGACGCAUGUCCAGCAGGACCUAGCAAAAAAAUAGCAGCAGAUCAGAAUUUCAAAAGCGAAAAUACUCACCAUAUACAAAAAAAAUCAACAGAGGCAAAAAAGUUCCAUUCCUAUCAUUAGAGGAAAGUAUACAGCAAUAAGUAUGAAAAUAACACCUGCCGCUAAGCAAAUCAAGCAGUUCAUUCAAAAGACCAAGAUCAUCCAAAGCAUCCCCAUAAAUCAGGAGAAAAAUAAAGUUAUAGAAGCACACCAAAGCAGCCAUGAAACUUCCCAAAAGAAUCAGAAAGGCAAGGAAAAAAUACAUGAUGAAUAUUGGAGGCAAUUUUAUUACCUAAACAAGGAGAUUGCUAAAGCUGAGUAUGUGCAACCAACUCUUCUAAUGGGCUCUUUAGAUCAUACAACUAAAGCGCUCAUCACUAGUAUCAUGGGAGGUGGGUAUAAUAAUGAGAUCAGUAAGGAAGAAGGGAACAAACCUCCAAACCCAAGCGAAUCCAACUCCAAACCAAAGAAGGACAAAAACAUGAAAGAACUUGAUCUCCAAAAGAGAGAAGUUGCUUACCAAAAUGUAGAGAUGGACGCUCAAGCCGUCAACAGCAAGCCAAAUGAGGCUCAGUGAAUCCUUUUCUUUAAGGGAGUUUUUUCGAAACUGUUUUCAUCAUAAUUUUUCUCAUGAAUAUUUUAAUUUGGAAUUGUAGAGGGGUAUCUGCUAAAGGAUUCCCCAUUAUUAUUAAAGAUUUAACCUAUCGAUAUAAUUUGAAUUUGUGUGUGCUCCUUAAACUCAUGUUUCAGGAUCUAAAGCUGAGGUGAUUAUCCACAAGUUAGGUUUUGAUUCUUGGUGUAGAAGCGAAGCUGAAGGUUUUGCGGGAGGCAUUUGGUGCCUUUGGAACAAAAAAGAGUGGAAUAUCGAACCUCUAGAAGUCCAUAAGCAAUUUAUCCAUAUGAAUAUCAAAGACAACGAAAAUCGAAACUGGUACUGCACUCGUGUCUACGGCAGCCCACAACCUGGGACCCGGAGUAGCCUCCGGGAGGAGUUAGAAAAUUUCGCAGGGACUAUCCAAGGACCUUGGUGCGUUGGCGGGAAUUUUAAUUCUAUCAUUUCCCUUGAAGAAACAGGGGGCAGUUUCAAUCUUUCUCAAGACUCAAGAAGAUUCCAAGAUUGUAUUCAGAAUUGUGGCCUAAAGGACCUAGGCUUUUCAGGACCCCCCUUUACCUGGCAAAGGAAUAGAGUCAAACGAAGACUAGACCGAUUUCUUUGCAAUUUGGGUUUCAAUGAUCUCUUCCCAUCAGCCGGAGUUAAACAUCUCCCUAAGUUGAAGUCUGACCAUAUCCCCAUCCUUUUAGACUUCAAUAACUUAGAAAUGAGAAGAAGAGAUAAACCUUUCAGGCUUCUUACGCCUUGGCUCCUUCAUGAAGACUACCAAAGAUUAGUAAAAAACAGUUGGAUCAAGCAGGGAGAUCUUGUCUCUAAUAUUAAUAAUUUUGCAAAUAAAGCUAAGGUUUGGAAUAAAGAGGUUUUCGGUCACAUCUUUAGAAAGAAGCAAAGAAUCCUCCUCAGACUUGAUGGAAUCAAUCAAAGUCUCUCUUUUAACAAUAACCCUUUUCUAGAGAAACUCCAUAACGACCUUUGGAGGGAAUACGAAAGGAUUGUUGUUCAAGAAGAAAGCUAUUGGAUGCAGAUGUCUAGGUGCAAUAUCAUCAAUUUUGGAGACAAGAACUCUAAAUAAUUUCAUCAAAAAGCAAAUGGGAGAAGAAGAAGGAACUAUGUCACUUCGCUCAAGAACAAUGAAGGAGAAUGGAUUGAUGAUGAGGAAGAACUCAAACACAUGGGUGUAUCCUUUUUUAAAUCUUUAUAUGCCCCUGAUAAUUAUUCUUUGGUGUUUCCUAACUUUCCUAUUGCAGGUAAAUUUCCUAGAGUGGCAGAAGAUAACCUUGUCCACCUAAACAAGAACAUCACUUUCGAGGAAGUCAAGCAUGCAGUUUUCAAUAUGGGUAGCUGGAAGGCUCCUGGGAGUGAUGGACUCCUAGCAAAGUUCUUUCAGCAUUCCUGGGAUACUGUGGCAGAUUCCCUAGUAAGUUGGGUUCAAAUGAUUUUUAGGAACCUAGAAAACAUUGCUAGAGUGAACCAAAUUCUUAUCUCUAUCAUUUCUAAAGUUCCUUCACCUAAGAACUUUGCCCAAUUCAGACCGUUCAGCCUAUGUAACAUUUGCUAUAAGAUCAUUACCAAGGUGAUAGCUGAAAGGAUUAAGCCGAUCCUAGGGGCUAUCGUGUCUAAUACUUAAGCAAGCUUCAUCCCAGGAAGGGUCAGUGCAGACAAUAUCUUAGUCGUGCAAGAGGUAAUACAUACGAUGAGGACCAGAAAUGGAGGAAAAGGUCUUAUGGCGAUUAAGAUAGACUUGGAGAAGGCGUAUGAUCGACUCAAUUGGGGUUUCGUCAUUGAGACUCUUAAAGACAUUGGCAUCCCGGAUAAAAUUGUAAAUGUUAUUUAUCAUUGCAUCUCCUCUCCAACUAUGAAUUUGCUUUGGAAUGGGUCUCAUUCAGAAACUUUCAUCCCAACCAGAGGCAUAAGACAGGGAGAUCCCUUAUCCCCUUACCUUUUUGUCUUGUGUAUUGAAAGACUUUCCCAUUUAAUUAACUCCUUGGUGGAAAAGAAAAGUUGGAAACCUAUUACUCUAUCUAGAAAUGGACCUCAAUUAUCUCAUCUCUGUUUUGCAGAUGAUCUUGUUCUUUUUGCUCAAGCAAAUAAAGAUCAAGUCCAGAUCAUCAAGGAGGCUUUGAGUAUUUUUUGUGAAGCUUCCGGUCAAAAAGUCAGUCUUAGCAAGUCUUGCGUGUUCUUCUCUAAGAAUGUCAACCACAAUAUUAGAGCAGAGCUCAGCAGAGACCUUGGCAUUCCCCUAACCAACAACCUAGGAAAGUAUCUCGGAGUACCCCUUAUUCACGAAAAAUGUGGGAAGCAACACUUUCAGCCGAUCAUUGACAAGAUGCACGCCAAGCUGUCCAGUUGGAAUAUGAAGACUCUCUCGUUAGCAGGAAGGAGCACUCUUAUUCAAUCCGUACUCUCAACGAUACCAAGCUAUACUAUGCAGACUAUGAAGAUGCCUAAGAAAGUCUGUAAUCAAAUUGACAAGAUUUGCAUAGACUUUCUUUGGGGGUCAGACGCAGGAGAUAAAAGGAUCCAUCUUAUCAAUUGGGAUUCUAUUUGCAAGCCUAAAGAGUUGGGAGGCCUAGGUCUGCGUAAGGCUCAGGAAACAAACAACCUUUAUCUCAUGAAAUUGGCAUGGGGUUUAGUCCAUAAUGACCAAGCACUUUGGGUAAAGGUUAUGAAGACUAAGUAUGGCUGUGGUGAUAGCCCUAUUCCCUAAGUGGCUAAGAGAUUAAAUUGCUCGAACGCAUGGAGAGGGAUUGCUAAAGUUUGGGACGACUUUCAACGCAAUCUUGUUUGGCGUAUUGGCGAUGGUAAGAGCAUCAAGAUCUGAAAAAGUCACUGGAUCCCUGGUAUUGAAAAUCUUAGCGAGUUAUUGCUCAAUCAAAUUAGCGAUGAUAGGGAUAACGAAACUCUAGAGGCCUAUGCUACGGAUGAUGGCUGCUGGGAUUUGGAAAAAUUAUCUCAUGCCCUCCCAAAUGAGGUUGUUGACAUGAUACGUACUCUGAAAGCUCCAAACCACUCCCUAGGUCGAGACUCUAUCAGUUGGCUACCGGAAUCACAUGGAAGUUUUUCUAUUAAUUCAGCUUAUAAGGCUUAUUAUGUGGAAGACAUAAAUCCUGAUGAGAUUUACAAAUUAUGUUGGAAAGCAAGAGUGCCUCAGAGACUAAAGACCUUUUCUUGGUUAUUAAGCUACAACACUCUAUUAACUAAUGUCAAGAGAAGGAACUGAGGACUUACUGAUAAUGGGUGCUGUCCCAGAUGCCCAGAUCAAGAUGAGAGUUUGCUCCAUGUUCUGAGGGAUUGUCCUUUUGCCCGAAGUAUUUGGUUUAGCAGCUCAAACAGAGACCCACGUGACCCUUUCUUUAGCCAGUCUCUUCAUGAAUGGCUUACGGAUAAUCUGAAUAAGGUCUCUCGCACUGACAGUGGGACUUCAUGGCCCACCUUCUUCCUCACCGCAUGU
Molecule: long non-coding RNA, 4142 nt
Filed under: Arachis ipaensis
Lineage: Eukaryota; Viridiplantae; Streptophyta; Magnoliopsida; Fabales; Fabaceae
Description: long non-coding RNA (AIPA_LNC000692)
Source: RNAcentral